RNAcentral lists this ribosomal RNA (467 nucleotides) under uncultured bacterium. Its description in RNAcentral is "partial 16S ribosomal RNA". It matches the Rfam family "Bacterial small subunit ribosomal RNA", at positions 28 to 507 of the family's 1533-position model. The record is from RNAcentral.
GGUGAACGCUGGCGGCGUGCCUAAGACAUGCAAGUCGAGCGGGGCAGGUUUAUACCUGUUCAGCGGCGGACGGGUGAGUAACGCGUGGGUGACCUACCCGGAAGAGGCGGACAACCUGGGGAAACCCAGGCUAAUCCGCCAUGUGGUCCUGUCCUGUGGGGCAGGACUAAAGGGGCGACCCGCUUCCGGAUGGGCCCGCGUCCCAUCAGCUAGUUGGUGGGGUAAAGGCCCACCAAGGCGACGACGGGUAGCCGGUCUGAGAGGAUGGCCGGCCACAGGGGCACUGAGACACGGGCCGCACUACUACGGGAGGCAGCAGUUAGGAAUCUGCAGCAAUGGACGGAAGUCGGACGGAGCGACGCCGCUUGGAGGGGGAAGCACUGCGGGGUGUAAACUCCUGAACUGGGGACGAAAGCCCCGUGUAGGGGGAUGACGGGACCCAGGUAAUAGCGCCGGCCAACUCCGUG